RNAcentral lists this transfer RNA (69 nucleotides) under Astictopterus jama. RNAcentral's name for it is "tRNA-Gln". Lineage: Eukaryota; Metazoa; Arthropoda; Insecta; Lepidoptera; Hesperiidae. The record is from RNAcentral.
UGUAUUUAAGUGUAAGGGGCAUAAUAAUUUUUGAUAUUAUUGGGUAUAGUUCAAUUCUAUAAAAUAUAA